This is a long non-coding RNA of Lontra canadensis (Northern American river otter), 207 nucleotides long. RefSeq lists it as uncharacterized. NCBI's taxonomy places the organism in Eukaryota, Metazoa, Chordata, Mammalia, Carnivora, Mustelidae. The record is from RefSeq and is a predicted model, not a curated record. The transcript is spliced from 3 exons.
GAAUAUGAGGAUUUCUACAUUGGAUAGAAGGUGCCAGAAAGGACUAGGCUUGUGGUCUAAUUACUGGGCUGCCCGGGGAGGGAAACAAGACAUCCUUGCCCUUGAGCCACAAAUAAAAGAGUGUUACAGAGAUGGCAGCCACCCUGAAGAGGGGUUCUCAAACAGUGUCCCCUCAAGUCCUUGGGCCACUAGGGGCCCAAGGACUUG